RNAcentral lists this ribosomal RNA (425 nucleotides) under uncultured bacterium. Its description in RNAcentral is "partial 16S ribosomal RNA". It matches the Rfam family "Bacterial small subunit ribosomal RNA", at positions 354 to 796 of the family's 1533-position model. The record is from RNAcentral.
GUGGGGAAUAUUGGACAAUGGGCGCAAGCCUGAUCCAGCCAUGCCGCGUGAGUGAUGAAGGCCUUAGGGUUGUAAAGCUCUUUUGUCCGGGAAGAUAAUGACUGUACCGGAAGAAUAAGCCCCGGCUAACUUCGUGCCAGCAGCCGCGGUAAUACGAAGGGGGCUAGCGUUGUUCGGAAUCACUGGGCGUAAAGCGCACGUAGGCGGACCAUUAAGUCAGGGGUGAAAGCCUGGAGCUCAACUCCAGAACUGCCUUUGAUACUGAUGGUCUCGAGUAUGGAAGAGGUUGGUGGAACUGCGAGUGUAGAGGUGAAAUUCGUAGAUAUUCGCAAGAACACCGGUGGCGAAGGCGGCCAACUGGUCCAUUACUGACGCUGAGGCGCGAAAGCGUGGGGAGCAAACAGGAUUAGAUACCCUAGUAGUCC